AUGCUCUACAUUCUGGUUGAUCCUGCCGGNACUGACUGCUAUCGUAUUGGUACUAAGCCAUGCGAGUCGUUGUACAUACAAGGCGGACUGCUCAGUAACACGUAGUUAACUUAACCUAUGGAUGGGGAUAACCUCGGGAAACUGAGAAUAAUACCCAAUGGACCACAGUGCCUGGAAUGGCCUGUGGUUGAAAUGAUUUGUCGCCGUAGGAUAGGACUGCGGCCUAUCAGCUUGUUGGUGAGGUAAUGGCCCACCAAGGCUAUAACAGGUACGGGGUCUGAGAGGAGGGGCCCGGAGAUGGGUACUGAGACACGGACCCAGGCCCUAUGGGGCGCAGCAGGCGAGAAACCUUUGCAAUGUGCGAAAGCACGACAAGGUUAAUCCGAGUGUCUCCUGCUAAAGGAGUCUUUUGUCAGUUGUAGAAUCACUGGUGAAUAAGGGGUGGCAAGUUCUGGUGUCAGCCGCCGCGGUAAAACCAGCACCUCGAGUGGUCAGGAGGUUUAUUGGGCCUAAAGCAUCCGUAGCCGGUUGCAUAAGUUUUCGCGUUAAUCUAUGCGCUUAACG
RNAcentral lists this ribosomal RNA (564 nucleotides) under uncultured archaeon. RNAcentral's name for it is "bacterial SSU rRNA". It matches the Rfam family "Archaeal small subunit ribosomal RNA", at positions 1 to 564 of the family's 1478-position model. The record is from RNAcentral.